This 76-nucleotide transfer RNA is filed under the name Elusimicrobia bacterium RIFOXYA12_FULL_49_49. RNAcentral's name for it is "tRNA-Ala". It matches the Rfam family "tRNA". Rfam says of the family: Transfer RNA (tRNA) molecules are approximately 80 nucleotides in length. Their secondary structure includes four short double-helical elements and three loops (D, anti-codon, and T loops). Further hydrogen bonds mediate the characteristic L-shaped molecular structure. tRNAs have two regions of fundamental functional importance: the anti-codon, which is responsible for specific mRNA codon recognition, and the 3' end, to which the tRNAs corresponding amino acid is attached (by aminoacyl-tRNA synthetases). tRNAs cope with the degeneracy of the genetic code in two manners: having more than one tRNA (with a specific anti-codon) for a particular amino acid; and 'wobble' base-pairing, i.e. permitting non-standard base-pairing at the 3rd anti-codon position. The record is from RNAcentral. RNAcentral also lists the same sequence under 3 other names. Lineage: Bacteria; Pseudomonadati; Elusimicrobiota.
GGGGCUGUAGCUCAGCUGGGAGAGCGCUUCCUCGGCAAGGAAGAGGUCGGCGGUUCAAUCCCGCUCAGCUCCACCA